AACAAUUUUUCUAGGGACAAAAUCACUUACUUGAGUAUAUGAACAACAAUCCUAAAUUUUUAUAACCUGAUUUUUGUGGAAGGUAAUGUAAUGAUUUUUAUUUAAAAAAAUUGUUUGUGUACGGUUAAAAAAACUAUGUUGCUAUAGAUAGUAAUAUUUUUCAAAUAUGGAAUACUCGAGUGAUUUUCCCUAAAAAGUUUUGCUUCAAUAUUAGCUGUGCCCAAUGAAUUUAGCCCACAACUUUUUUGUUAAAAAAGUAACAUUCAGCAAAAAUUGAAGACCACAUGAUAAGAUCAGUAAGUGCAAAAACUUGUAUUAUAGUCUAUUCAAAAUUCCAACACCUCAGAUUCAGUUGGAGAAUCGAUUUUAGUAUCUUCUGACUGCAUGGUGGUGGUGGUCAAAGGGAGAUAGUGCAUCAAGUGGUUCAUUCGCAAGGGGCUAUUUGAUCACAGGUGGUGAACACUCCCAUUAAUAUACAUACAACAAUUCCAAAGUAGUUGGAACUGGCAUAUAAUGCCUUUUACAUUGAAUUAGAAGAAUUACUAACUCUGAGUUGUGUCCCUAUUACCGCUUAUUCAGGUUGCUCAUCUCUCCACAAACCAAUAUUACAUUACAUACAUACAAUAUAUGAUACACCUGAUAGUUACAUUCCAACAAAAUAUUACUAAUCAAUUAUCUGCAACUCCUAUUACUGGUAUUUGCAUUUGGAAUUUUCAUUCUCCACAGACUUCCUGUGAUUGAUAGUCGUUUUGCUCUCUAAGUUUAUGAUGUCAAACUCACCUGAAUCUUGUGUCCUUACCACAACCGUUCAGGUCUUCAGCCUCACGAGAGCGAAAAACUGUCUCUUGCAACCAAAACUAACUUCUGAGGGUGACCCAGCUUUUGGCUAACAUCAAUUUCUUUCAAUCUAGCUAAGGCACCCAUUUCUGUUUGACUCUGUUUUCCCAACAGCCUUUUUACCAUAUCAUCCAGUUCCACAAUUUUCCUCUGUAAGUUAGUCUUAUCCAUCUGGUGUCAAAUCCAACAGCAAUAUCAUUAAUUAACAACUAAUGUACCAAUAUUACAUUUAUCUCCUAAUAUGAGACAGUAAAACCUUCAUACUUUUAGCAUUUCAUUUUGAGCAAUCAGCAUCUGAUCACGCUCUCGGAGUUGUUCCAUGCACAUCUGGGAUGAUAGCACAUCUGCCUCUCUUUUUUUUCCUUCCAAAGUGUAUCUAAAAAUUGUUAAAUAGUCAGAACCCAUCAUACAUCCUACAAAUAGAAUCUAAGUAGAAUAUUAUACUGGCUUUUCUUAAAUACUGGAAUAUCUAUCAAUCCUAUGCAUUUUAUGGAAGAACGUGCAUGAUAUUAUGUUGCUCCAGCGAAACACUAUUGCGUUGAUAUUUCUCUUUCAAAAAGAGAUUUACUCUACUGCCAACCAUACUUCUAAUGUAACACAUCAUUCCUUGUCUACUCAACACUGGUUAAAUUCAAAGAUGAGGAAGACAAAGUAACUCACCUCUCUCUUUCUUCAACUAGAUCAUCAAUUUGUCUCCUUAGAUCGGAAAGUUCUCUCUCCUGUAAUAACAUAAACCACUUGUAAGGAACUAAAAUUUUAGCAUAUGAUUUCCUAUUAAGCAUACCAUUACAAUGCGCUCUUCUGAUUGCUGCUGAGCCUCCUCUACAAACUUUUGUAGUUGAAACUGGUUCAUCAAAUUCUAGAACAUACAGAAAGAAAAAAGUCAUUAUAACUCAGAAACGGAAAUACACAAGAAAAUAAAGAGGGAUUAGUGGGGUACUUACAGCAUAACUAGUCAUGUCCAGCUUGACACCAAGCAAAUCCCGAAUAACAUCAUGUGUCAUGCUUUCUGUUGCAGCAAGUCUACUGUUCAGCAUACAAAUCUGACAACAUAUAUGAAAAUUAAUAUGUGUAAGAAGAGUAACUAUCUAUAUGAAAGCGGCAGGAUAUGUCUUGAAAACAUGGCAGUACAGAAGAUGAAGGGAUAAUAAUAGCACUACUGAGACGAUAGCCAAAGAGUAACGUUGUUGGUUGUUAGAAAUGAGAAGUAGAUAUAUCAGUACAAAAGUGAUGGAGAUAGAUAUUGAUAUUUUAAACUUCACAUGUAGCUCCGUGAUUGUCUUAAAUCGUGUUACCUGUUUUGAGGUUGUGAUAGAUUGCCUCUAUUAGGCCUUUACUAAUAUACUUUACAAAUUCUUGUUUAUGUCAAUAGCUUUUACUCCUAUUAAGGAGGAUUUACAAAUAAAAUAUGUACACUGACUGAAUUUCCUUUUUUUGUAGAGCUUAGCAAUAAAAUGGUCAUUUUUUUCAUUAAUGAUGGUGUCUGAUCUAGUCAGGAUGCACCUUGAUGAAUCCACAUGGUACUUGCAGCCUUCCAUCAGCACAACUACUAUCACCAUUCACCAAGGCUAAGGGAAAUGAGAAAAUUUUGAAUACUGUCACCUCCGAUGGAAUUUGAACAUAUCAAAGAAACACAUUGUGUUCAUGCUUAUAAAUGACUUUGUAAUAAAUCUCAGAAUAAGGGGUGAAAUUUGGAUUACUAAAUUUAUGUUACCCUAAAAGUUGCUUAGUGUCAUCAUUAGGAACCACCCCUCGAGCAAAUGAAUUAGCUUUCCACAGCUACCAUUUCUAAAAUAAGACUCUUGUAUGAAAAAAAAAAUUAUCUAAAAAUGCAUACCUCCUGCUCUUUCUUUUUUUUUAGAUAAGGUUUUCAUUGUAC
This 2716-nucleotide long non-coding RNA is filed under the name Solanum lycopersicum (tomato). RNAcentral's name for it is "long non-coding RNA (SLYC_LNC000096)". The record is from RNAcentral. Lineage: Eukaryota; Viridiplantae; Streptophyta; Magnoliopsida; Solanales; Solanaceae.